CUAGCGUUGUCCGGAAUUACUGGGCGUAAAGAGCUCGUAGGUGGUUUGUCGCGUUGUUCGUGAAAACUCACAGCUUAACUGUGGGCGUGCGGGCGAUACGGGCAGACUGGAGUACUGCAGGGGAGACUGGAAUUCCUGGUGUAGCGGUGGAAUGCGCAGAUAUCAGGAGGAACACCGGUGGCGAAGGCGGGUCUCUGGGCAGUAACUGACGCUGAGGAGCGAAAGCGUGGGGAGCGAACAGG
This 242-nucleotide ribosomal RNA is filed under the name uncultured bacterium. RNAcentral's name for it is "partial 16S ribosomal RNA". It matches the Rfam family "Bacterial small subunit ribosomal RNA", at positions 535 to 776 of the family's 1533-position model. The record is from RNAcentral.